RNAcentral lists this long non-coding RNA (1381 nucleotides) under Triticum aestivum (bread wheat). RNAcentral describes it as "long non-coding RNA (TAES_LNC017383)". Lineage: Eukaryota; Viridiplantae; Streptophyta; Magnoliopsida; Poales; Poaceae. The record is from RNAcentral.
GCAAGAACAUCAGCCUGCAGAGAAGAAAAAUGGAGGACUGCUUUAUUCUGCGGUACAUCCACAAUAGUACAGCAAAUAAAGUAGUUAAAUAUGCGCUAAGAUUUAAGACCUUUUAAAAGGUAAGUAGUGAUCUAAAAGGUCUUGUAUUAGUUUGAAGAGGGAGCACAUAAUAAGACUGUAAGCCAGUACAUCAAAGUAAUGACGGCUUCCCAUUGAUUUCAUCAAACUAAUAUGACAAAGGGAAGGUGAAACUUCAGAAAACCAUAUAAAUUGACCACGAUGUCUUAAUUUAAAACUCUGAAAUGAAGUAAUAAACAUUAAGUCUGAAUGUUGUCACUAAAAAAGCAUAAAAAAAGCAGACCAGCCAGGAGUGCAUCAUAAUCAGUGGUUCAUCAUGCGCAAACCAGGCAGCAGUAGCCUAAUAACUUAGACGGAAAAAAUGCAAGAAGUCAAAGCACAAGGUGGGAAAUAGGACCGAGCAUUGACAGGUAACCAAAUAAUGAAAGAAUAUCCCCAUGAAAAUCAAGAACGGUACAUUAGCAUCCAGAAGUACAUAGAAACAAACAUUCCGCUUGGCAGAGUGUGAUCUCAGUAUGAUGUCAAUAGCUGGGACUAAGAAGGUAACCACGUAGAGUGUCACACCUAAGGCGUUUGCUUACGUCUCUAGUCUCUAGUAAUACAACUCACUAUUGAUUGAUUUAACUAAGGUAUUCUUCAGCUGGGUAUUUAUAAAGGGAAUUCACUAUGCUUUUUUACCAGCGAGUAGAGAGCAACUGAAGGACUUAUGUUUCUAAAUGCAAGAACAAACCUCACCAGGCUGCUGUGCAGACUUAUUGUCCGUGGAAGAUGCUACAGCUGAGCAAAAUUGGCUUGGGAUUUCUUCUAUGCCUGCUGCUCCCUCCUGCAGCAAUUAUUUGGAACAACAAAACAAUUUACUGUGAGAUGAGAGAAGGCACACUAAAGAAGCACAUCCAUAAGUGUAUAUCUAAUAAUAUAGAUGCUACAAAUCAAUAGAACUAAAAUACUCCAGCAAUUGGGAUCAGCUAGAUCUAUGUCUACAUCACCAAAUCAGAAGUUUAGUUACCUGUGGUUCGCUUGAUAGCAGUUGCAGGUUUUCAUGCGCUGAACUCAAGAACCGACCAGCAGCGACCAAAUCUAAGCACAACCAUCCCUCACAAUUUGAAUUCUACCCCAGCAAGUACAGACACGUCCUCUGCAACCUCAUACAGGUACGAAAGCGUCAUAAAGCACACCGCACUACGCCGCCACCACGACCUCCAAAACAUGUAUAACGACUGAAAUAAGCGGACGCAUUCUGUUCACACACAAGCAUGACAUAUAAGUGGGACGAGGCCGAACAAUACACGAUGGCGUGCCAGAU